Molecule: long non-coding RNA, 6876 nt
Organism: Marmota monax (woodchuck)
Lineage: Eukaryota; Metazoa; Chordata; Mammalia; Rodentia; Sciuridae
Exons: 2
Source: RefSeq, a predicted model, not a curated record
ACAGAAAAAGGCACAGGCUUUGAAAGUAACUUCGUAUGCUUAUCUUUUGAAAACAAAAUGGAGAGUAUAAACUUUUAUCAAUGGAAGGAAGGAAAUUGAAGCUUUACUAUUAAAUUUAAGCAAUGAGCUCCCAGUUAUCUGGCUGUAUAUGCAACCCCAGUGUAAUCUGCAGUGGAGAGGACUGGUCCUGUGUCUUAGAGCAAAGCAUGAUGGGGAAUUGAAAGCAUGUGACAGACAUCCUGCACUUCAAGGUUGGGCUGUUGGCUGCCGUGAAGCAUCCAUGAAGUGGGGGCUUAGGUAGGAGUUUGGGAGCUGCUCCUGGUCCCUUCCUACCAGGGUCUGGGCAUGCACUUACCUCCUUCUCCCAACUACCUUGUAGAUGAACCCAGAACCGAAACUCUUUCUUUUUCUUCAGAUCCUCUAUUCUCUUUCCCCUUGGGUCUUUCCUUUCUUUCUCAGAUUUCCCUACCAAUUGUGGCCUCAUUUACCUGCCCCAUUUUGGGUAGGUCUGCUGGGGUGGAGUGGGAGUAGGAGAAGAUAAGCAAUGCCGACCAGUCAGCAGGGACACUCUCAUUAUAGCCCCUGAAAAUUGUUUUUGCUAUUUCUCUAAAAGAAGCUCCCUCUCUUUUUCAGUUUCAAGAUUUAUGGCCAAUGUGUCCCCUGAGUAAAGCUUUCUUUAAGAAGUGAGGCUGGCUUAGGUGUAGGCAAAGCCUCAAGAAGGGAAGUGGUAUUUGUCAGACCCCUGGGAGGGAGCAUAAGUGGUCUGGUGGUGGAGGGAAACACUACCACAAAAAAUAGUUCAGAGUUUGAGCUCUGAGAUGGCCUACUUCUGAGGCUCAAGUUAGCCUUUGGGUUAUCAUAAUUGAUUUGUUUUUCAUUUUGAAUUUCCUCAAGCAUUCUAAGCAUUUCAGGUACUAUACUACACCCUCAGGACACCAACUUUGUGUCUUUACUGAGAGAGUGAACAUUUGGAUAGGAUAGGGAAACAAGUGCAAUGGGUUAUAUCUGGAAGGCCCCCCAAGGGCCCACUUGGUAGAGCCUUGUUCUCCAUCAUGGAAGUAUUGGGAAGUGGUGGACCUUUAAGAGGUGGGGGGUCAGAGGACAUUGGGGGCAUACCUUCUUAUGAAGAGUUUUUAUGGGGCCUCCUUCUUCCAUUCAUUCUUCUUUUGCUUUCUGUCCAUGAGGUGAAUGGCUUUGUGAGAUGCAUUUCCAUCAUAUGUUGCCUAAUCCCAGGCCCCAAAGCCUAGGGCCAAGAAAUCAUAGACUGGAUUCUUCCAAAUUGGGCUGAAAAAAACCUUUUUUUUGAAUUGAUUAUUUCAGGUAUUUUGUUACAGUAACAGAAAGUUGGCUGAAACAACAGGGAUUUAUAAUGAAAUAUGACAAAUAUUAAUAAAGAUUUCAUAAAAUGAUAUGGUCACAAAGCAGAAUUUUAAAAAUCUCUUAUUUAUGCAAAAGAAGUUCUCGGACUAAGAUUAGUUUUUAUGAUUAGCAUAAACUAAUGAUACUAGGUGAAGAAAUUUGACAUCUUUUCAAGUAUCUUGUGUUCUUAAAGAAAUAUCCUUAGCUUUUAGAAUAUAUGUUUUUUAAUUCUCUGGUCAGGCACCUACUAGUUCUAAAAAUUUAAUGAAAUUACUUAAAAUGAAUGUCUUCGUUGGCUUUUCUGCAAAAUGUUAAAUAAUAUAACAAUUCUUAAUUCAUAGAUUGUUCUGGAUAAUUAAAUUAGUUAACACAUGAAAAGUGCUUAUGUCCGUGCUUGGUCCACAAUUAGAACAUAAUAAACUUGCUCUAUCAUUACUCUAUCAUUGUGAUGGUUGUUCUCAUCAUUGUCAGCAUCAUUAUCUUAUCAUUUUUAUUUCUAGUGUACAAAAAAAAUACUUAAAUUGAGUUGUACUUUCAGGAGACUCUGAGACCGACUUGGCUAGAUUGACUUGUGUUCCCAUGUAGCAUAGUUGGAAAGGCUCAUGGGCUUGAUUGCCUACUGACUGCACAGGAGAGUCCAUUUAUAAUGGUUGGUACAAAUAAACGUUUUGGUCAGAAGAAUUUAAAUGCAAGAAAUCAGAAGAGUCUAAUCUUGAAUGAUUCCAAAACACUUACCAAGAAGAUGAUUUUUUUUGUAGUGAAAAGACAAACUCCUCAAAGAGCAAACCCAAAUAAUAUUAACAACUGGAUCAGGUUAUCAAUGUUGGAGUCCACAUUAAUAAUUCUAUUAUUAUUAAUAGAACCAAUAUCAGUCCAUUCUAAUUGGCUAAAACACUGAUAAUAAUAUUACAGUGUUUUAUCUUGAUAUAGAUUAUGAAGAAUAGCUAGAUUAUAAAGAAUAGAUAUCCUAUAAUAGAUAAAUAUUAAGUACACGCAGGCACAGACAAUCUAUUCUCUGAUUAAUGACUAGGCUAGAAAUUAAAAGUAAUUCUAUUUAUGUCAGAAUCCUAUGUCACAACAUUUUCAUAUCUUAUCUUAAAAUAGUAAUCACAUUUUCUCAGUUUGUUCCAGUGAGUUCAACGUGAUUACCAUUACCAACAUAUUAGGACAUGAGAGAAUACAUGAGAGAAUACAUGAGAGGAUUUUGAUCCAUAUAUGGUAAACUCAAAAAUGUAGAAAUAUAAAAAAAAUUUAAACAAAGAAAAUUUGCAAAUAUAAGACAAAAUAAUUUUCUCCUCAUCCAAAGAUGUUUGGUUUUUUAUUCCCAUGCAAUGCACCAACUCAAAAUAUAGUGGCUUAAAAAUAAUAAAACCAAAAAUAUAUAUAAAAUUUAAUAAUUAGAUUCAUGUUUUUGAGUAGAUUCAUGUUUUUUGAGUAUAUCCUUUACAAAUCUAUAAUUGGGGCAAGGCUCAAAGUAGAGGUCCUGUGUGUUUCAUGUGGUGUAGAGUGGGCUGGAAGAAUCUACUUCUAAUCUGGUGCACUCACACAGCAGAAAGUUGGAGCUAGUUAGGAGCUCAGAGAGGUUUGAGAGUUGUGGGCUCAGAUGCUCUCCAUAUUUGCCUCCUCACAGGCUACUUGGUCUUCCUCCUAACAUGGUGGCAAGUUUCAAAAAUAAACUUCCCAAGAGUGAGGAAAUAAAAGUUGCCAAUUUAUUAAGAACUGGGCCAGAAAUAGAAACAAUGUCACUCCCACAAUAUUUUGGUCAAGCUUCCUAGACUUCACUUUCCUAAAGAGGAAAUAAAUAUAGACUUCACAGAAGUACUAAAAAAAUGGGUGUUGUGAUAUAAAAUAUCUAGUCUCCCUUCAGAUACAAAUUGUUUACAUUUCUUCCACAUAUAUUCAUUAUUAUGGUUUAGAUAUGAGGUAUCCCACAAAAGCUCAUGUUCAAUGCAAGAAGGUUUAGAGGUGAAAUGAUUAGGUUAUGAGGGCCUUAACCUAAUCAGUGUGUUAUACCUGGUAAGGAUUACCUAGGUGGUGACUGUGGGCAGGUGGGAUGUGGGUGAAAAAGGUAGGUCACCAAGGGCAUGUUUUGGGAGUUUAUACUCUAUCCAUGCUUCCUGUCAUGUCCUAAGCUGCUUUCUACUCCUACAUUCUUCUGCCAUGAUGUCUGCUUCACCUUGAACCAAGAGUGAUGGAGUUGUCCAUCUAGGACUGAGAUCUGCAAAACUGUGAGCCCCAAAUAAACAUUUGCUCCUCUAAAAUUGUACUUGUCAGAUCUUCUGAUCAGUGCAGUGAAAAAGCUGAUUAAAACACUGACCCACUUCCGACACUUAAAAAGAGUCUCAUCAAUACUGCAUCAGAUUGAGCCUCAGGGCCUAAGAAUUAUCACUAAAAAUCAAGUGUAGGCAUAAAUGAGGCUCUUCAAAUAUGGGUAUUUAAGCAUAGUGCCUAAGUAUAGCCCCUCUUAGUGAGAAAACAAGAAUAGAAGACAAGUUCUCUGCCCAAUAUAGUCAGCAAACAAUGGUAAUGCAGGCCAGGGCACCUUUCAUAGAGUCUCCUGUUCAGAGAAAAAGGCAUGUAGUGGUGACUACAGCUACCCUGGUGCUACAGUCAUGCUAGUGUGUCCACUUCCUUGACUGUGGCUUAUUUAUAACCCCUGAGUAUUUCCUCUAUCAUUCAUGCUCCUCCUCUUUAGGUUCUAAGUGUCAUUCUCUAUAUCAUCCUUCCUUUUCAGUAAGAAAAUAGUUUGUAACAAAGUGGCUUCUGCAGUCUAUUCCAGCCCAUCAAAUAAUGUGGGCCCAAAGCUGUUAGGAUCUGUAAACAAGUCAAGAUGGCGCCUGGCAUUUUGCAGAGGGAGUGGUUUGUGAAGUAACACCAGCGAGCCAUUAAGUGUGGAGAUUCCUUAUUGGUUGACUGCUGUAUCUAGUUUAUGUUAAUUAAGAUAAGCUGUGUGGAAUGUAUAUAUAUCCCUCUGGUCCUACAAUAAACGGCUCCCAUCCUGCUGUAUCAAGGUACACAAGUUGUUCGUCAUCCCCCAGUUAUUUUGCUGCAGCCGGACUGCGGCAGAUGGUGGCCCAUAUGGGGAGCCCCGGGACACUUGGGGGUAAGUGACGGAAAAAAAAAAAAAGGACCUGAGCAAAUCUGCUAGGCAGAUAGGGCCAGAGAAAAAAUGGUCAUUUUGAGAAAAUGGAGAAGAUUGAUGCAGUAUGUUUGUGUCUUGUUUUGUCUUGAAAUGUUGUAUUGUCUUUGUGAUGAAAAUAUGGAAGGGGUGAGAAGUAAAUUACUAAGGGAAGAAGGCACCCCAGUGGAAUCAAGAGCAGUUAGGGCAUAUGUUGAUGAAAGCCCAGGAACUCUAGUCAGAAAGAAAAAGAAAGUUCAGAAGAAGGAUUAUCAGGAAAAAAGUUGCAGCAAAAGGCUAUUACUGAAUACUUUUCGUUACCGGAGGGUGCGUGAAUCGGUGCAGCGGCCGCCACGUGCGCGAGCCGGUCAUGGCGCAGCAAGGACUUUCCAAGCAGCAGCAGCGGGCUCUUCCCCGCCCCCCACCCAGAGAGCAGGACGCCACUGCAAGAGCCCAAAUCCAAACCUGACCCGAAGGCACGGUCUCGCAGGCUCUUGCUCCCUGUGCCCAGUGGCAGUUUGAGUCCGGAACACUCCCCAGACUCUCCCCGGGGCCAUCUGGGGCUGCCCAGGACGCUGCAGGCGGAAGAUGGCCCUGAAGUUUGAUCAUUUCCAAGGCCAGUAACUACAAUGGUUCUCCCACACCUGGAAGCUAAUGAGUAAUGAUCACUAUAUUAAGGCUUAUUUCAAAUGUAAAAAACCUUGAGAUAAUGUACUAAAUUGUUCAGAAGGUUGUUUUCUUAGCGACUGCUGGAAUACUACAGGAUUUUCUUUAGCCAUCCAGAGUUCCUGCCUUCAUCCCAGUGCAUGUGAGGAGGGUGGAAGAAUUUCCAGUGUUGCUGAAAACUGGACGAGACUUCGACUGAGAAACGGACAAGACUUCGGAGCUGUUGCUGUUUCUGCUGCUACAGCUUAGGCUAGCUGCCUGAAGAACUUACCUGGACUGUGAUUUAAGCUAACUGCCUGCAGAACUUACCUGGACUGUGAUUUACCUGGACUGUGAGUUAAUCUAUUGAGACACUGCUUUACCUGGACUGAGACAACAAACUGUAAUCUACAACAAAUUGUAACUCGGUAUCUUUGCUAACGGUGUCAUUGCUGGUAUAAUUUUUCCAAGGGCUUCUUGCAUGGAGUCAUCAAUUGGCUUGGUAUUGUGGCAUUUUGUAUCCUCCCCUUCUGCUUGUAGCAGAUUAUUUGUGGUGUUUGUUUAAAAACCACUAUGGUCAUUAUUUAAAUUAAACAAAAGGGGGAAUUGUUAGGGUCUGUAAACAAGUCAAGAUGGCGUCUGGCAUUUUGCAGAGGGAGUGGUUUGUGAAGUAAUGCCAGUGAGCCAUUAAGUGUGGAGAUUCCUUAUUGGUUGACUGCUAUAUCUAGUUUAUGUUAAUUAAGAUAAGCUGUGUGGAAUGUAUAUAUAUCCCUCUGGUCCUACAAUAAACGGCUCCCAUUCCUGCUGUAUCAAGGUACACAAGUUGUUCGUCAUGCCCUGGUUAUUUUGCUGUAGCCGGACUGCGGCACAAAGCAGUUGGUUGCUUUAAGCAGAAAAAUUACUUUAAAAUAUUGUGGGUUCUCUGAAUCUUAUUUGAAUUUGCACCAUUAGUCAAAAGCUGAAUCCCAAAUAUCUUUGCAAUAAGAUCUUCUCAUACUUGAGUUGCCAUAAUGAUACUAUGUGAGUAAAACUCUGUUCAGAUACUCAAAUUCCAUAUGGUUUAAUAGAGAGGGUCUGUGUGCCAUGCCCUGAAUACCCUUGGAGAGUCUUUGGUUCUCUUAGGAAUUUGUGGAGUGCUGUGUUAGAUCUUCUUUGACAAAUGGUCUAUUUAUCCCACCUGGAAAUUGAUCUUUAGCCUGAGGCCCUUUCCUUACUUCAAGAAUUUUUCAAAUCAUCUGUAGAGCCUGGGAAUGAGAACAUUAUUAUUUACAAAUCUAGAUAAUCCUCAUUCCUUUACAUCUAAGAGUUUAUUCUUCCACACAUUUAAUUUCAAACAUUAUCAAAACCUUUUAAUAUGUUUUUCCUUUUAUUCGUGAGAACAGAAACCUGGCAGACACCAGAAAUCAUCACAGGAACCAAACUGUGCUGGCACCCUGAGCUUGGAGGUGUGUUAACUCCAGAAAGGCAUGAAAUAUUGCUUAAUGUUUAUUGUUUAAGCCACCAGUUUGGGGUAUCAGUUAUGCACCCUGAGCUAAUAUUUUUAAUAAGAUUCUCGUUUUUCUCUCAUUAGGUUCAUGCUGGCGGCUGAAUUUUGUUCUUCCCAGAUCCAUAUGUUGAAUUAAUAACUCCCAAAUUAUUUGAAGACGGGGCUUUAAGAAGGAAAGUCCAGUACAACAUUGGACUUCUUACAGAAAUCAAGAAUGCUAUCAACAAUUGGCUGGCACUGAAGAUAAAACUUGCUCAAAUUAAUGCUA